Molecule: ribosomal RNA, 447 nt
Filed under: uncultured bacterium
Lineage: Bacteria
Description: bacterial SSU rRNA
Rfam family: Bacterial small subunit ribosomal RNA
Source: RNAcentral
ACCAGACUCCUACGGGAGGCAGCAGUGGGGGAUAUUGCACAAUGGGGGAAACCCUGAUGCAGCGACGCCGCGUGUGGGAAGACGGUCCUCUGGAUUGUAAACCACUGUCCCCAGGGACGAAGAUGACGGUACCUGACUAAGAAGCCCCGGCUAACUACGUGCCAGCAGCCGCGGUAAUACGUAGGGGGCAAGCGUUAUCCGGAUUUACUGGGUGUAAAGGGAGCGUAGGCGGUUCAGCAAGUCAGAAGUGAAAGCCCGGGGCUCAACUCCGGGACUGCUUUUGAAACUGUUGAACUAGAUUGCAGGAGAGGUAAGUGGAAUUCCUAGUGUAGCGGUGAAAUGCGUAGAUAUUAGGAGGAACACCAGUGGCGAAGGCGGCUUACUGGACUGUAAAUGACGCUGAGGCUCGAAAGCGUGGGGAGCAAACAGGAUUAGAUACCCCGGUAC